UCUCUCCCCACACCACACACCUUAGGGAGUCUUAGGUAAAAGGACAAGAUGAUAAUCAGCUCCCUGAAUGAUAUAUUGGCAGGUCGCCCUGUAGCAGGCAGGUGAGGGGACAGAUCUAAUGAAAGACAACCUUAGAAAACUGGUCUUUCUUCUCAAAGAUAAAAUGUCUCUCUUGUAGUCUUUCAUCAUUUUUCCCUUGGAGGAAGGCUUCCCUGGUUCCAACAUAUUUCCAUUAAAACAGUCGAAACUUCCUGCAUUAGGAUGUCAGAUGCAUCUCUUCCUCUAUGGUAAUCGGAAUUUUAAAUUAUACAGUUGCCUCUGAAUUUCUCCUUCACAAAGCCAAACCCCUGAUAAGUGAUAAAGCAGACAGCCACCAGCCAGCCACCAGCCUGCUGCUCCUGCCCGCACAAUGCACCGUAGGCAUUAGCACUUUCUAAAGCAAUGUGAUUCGUAUGAGUCUUAAAAGCUUUCUUCAUAAUGGACUCCUUGAAAUUUGUCAAGGCAGGUCUGAAUGGCAAAGGAAAAAUAAUUACUUGUGGGAGGUCCUCUUUCCGAAGAGCACCCAGUGGAGAAGAAAAUCCCUUGGUGGCAUCCAGGCUCGGGAAGGUUAUUUGGUGCCUGUCCCCCUCCCCACAACCCCCAGGUCUUGCUUUUGUGGAAGUGGACAGAGUAAGAAAUCAUCAGUAUCUUCUUUUGAGGGAGAUAGAAUGUCAUCAGCCUUUGAUGCAGUAGGGAGGGUUAAAUCACGGCACAGGAUUAAUGAUGCCAUCAGACCCACACAUGAAGAGUGGCAAGAGUAGAGCAGCCGCACCGCCAACUGCUGCUCAAUCAGCCCAGCAACAGGCAGCAUCAGGACAUGCUUUGAGGAUACCACUGGAAUAGACCAAAGGAACAAUCGCUGUAGGCAAGAAGCAGCUUUAAAGUCCCAGCCCAUCUGUCCUCCUAGGAAGCCAGAGUCCUCAGCCAAAAGCCUCGCUCCGCGGGUUGCCAUCCUCAGUGCAAAGUGUGUGGCUUUUGCUUCCUCACUAAAUAUAACAGGUUUAAAGCUGCCCUUGCUGAGAAAUCAGGAAAGGAAACAUAUGUUUAAGAAUUUAAAAAGAAAAA
This 1104-nucleotide long non-coding RNA is filed under the name Rattus norvegicus (Norway rat). RNAcentral describes it as "long non-coding RNA NONRATT005374". Lineage: Eukaryota; Metazoa; Chordata; Mammalia; Rodentia; Muridae. The record is from RNAcentral.